This 291-nucleotide ribosomal RNA is filed under the name uncultured bacterium. RNAcentral describes it as "partial 16S ribosomal RNA". It matches the Rfam family "Bacterial small subunit ribosomal RNA", at positions 334 to 621 of the family's 1533-position model. The record is from RNAcentral.
AGGUCCUACGGGGCGCAGCAGUGAGGAAUAUUGGUCAAUGGCCGAGAGGCUGAACCAGCCAAGUCGCGUGAGGGAUGACGGCCCUACGGGUUGUAAACCUCUUUUGUCGGGGAGCAAGACCCGCCUCGUGCAGGCGGAGCGAGAGUACCCGAAGAAAAAGCAUCGGCUAACUCCGUGCCAGCAGCCGCGGUAAUACGGAGGAUGCGAGCGUUAUCCGGAUUUAUUGGGCGUAAAGGGAACGCAGGCGGUCUUUUAAGUCUGAUGUGAAAGCCUUCGGCUUAACCGGAGUAG